GGAGGCGUGGUGUAGUGGCCUAACACGUCGGCCUGUCAAGCCGAAGAUCGCGGGUCCGAAUCCCGUCGCUUCCGCCA
Molecule: transfer RNA, 77 nt
Filed under: Chloroflexota bacterium
Lineage: Bacteria; Bacillati; Chloroflexota
Description: Chloroflexi bacterium (anaerobic digester metagenome) tRNA-Asp
Rfam family: tRNA
About the family: Transfer RNA (tRNA) molecules are approximately 80 nucleotides in length. Their secondary structure includes four short double-helical elements and three loops (D, anti-codon, and T loops).
Source: RNAcentral